RNAcentral lists this ribosomal RNA (614 nucleotides) under Diplodia cupressi. Its description in RNAcentral is "eukaryotic LSU rRNA". It matches the Rfam family "Eukaryotic large subunit ribosomal RNA", at positions 38 to 667 of the family's 3401-position model. The record is from RNAcentral. Lineage: Eukaryota; Fungi; Ascomycota; Dothideomycetes; Botryosphaeriales; Botryosphaeriaceae.
GCAUAUCAAUAAGCGGAGGAAAAGAAACCAACAGGGAUUGCCUUAGUAACGGCGAGUGAAGCGGCAACAGCUCAAAUUUGAAAGCUGGCCCUUUUAGGGUCCGCGUUGUAAUUUGUAGAGGAUGAUUCGGCGAGGGCUCCCGCCUAAGUCCCCUGGAACGGGGCGUCAUAGAGGGUGAGAAUCCCGUAUGCGGUGGGCUGCCUUAGCCAUGUGAAUCUCCUUCGACGAGUCGAGUUGUUUGGGAAUGCAGCUCUAAAUGGGAGGUAAAUUUCUUCUAAAGCUAAAUACCGGCCAGAGACCGAUAGCGCACAAGUAGAGUGAUCGAAAGAUGAAAAGCACUUUGGAAAGAGAGUUAAAAAGUACGUGAAAUUGUUGAAAGGGAAGCGCUUGCAACCAGACUUGUCCGCAGUUGCUCAGCCGGUCUCCUGACCGGCGCACUCUUCUGCGGCCAGGCCAGCAUCAGUUCGGGCGGUCGGAUAAAGACCUCGGGAAUGUAGCUCCUCUCGGGGAGUGUUAUAGCCCGGGGUGCAAUGCGGCCAGCCUGGACUGAGGAUCUCGCUUCGGCAAGGAUGCUGGCGUAAUGGUUGUAAGCGGCCCGUCUUGAAACACGGACC